This is a long non-coding RNA of Coffea eugenioides, 299 nucleotides long. RefSeq lists it as uncharacterized. The record is from RefSeq and is a predicted model, not a curated record. The transcript has 2 exons. NCBI's taxonomy places the organism in Eukaryota, Viridiplantae, Streptophyta, Magnoliopsida, Gentianales, Rubiaceae.
CUUCCUUAUUGUAAACAUUCUCCUAGUUUCCAAUAAAAUCCCAAGCUUUCAUUUAUAUUCGCUUCCACACCCCACGCUCAUCUAAUAUCUAAAUUCAAGACUAUUCAAGAACUUUAAUUACAAGCUUCUAGAUUGGAAAUGUGGUGCUGAAAUAUCAUUAGGAAAUUUAGGUGUGGAAAUUCCUGGAAUAGCUUCUAUCAUUUUUUUCUAAUUUAUUUCCUAUUGUUUGAAUUUUUGUAUCUAAAUAUUCUACAUUUUGGGAUACCGAAUGUAAUAAUUGAUUUGUAUAAUUAUUUUGA